AAGAGCUCGUAGGUGGUUUGUCGCGUUGUUCGUGAAAUCUCACGGCUUAACUGUGAGCGUGCGGGCGAUACGGGCAGACUUGAGUACUGCAGGGGAGACUGGAAUUCCUGGUGUAGCGGUGGAAUGCGCAGAUAUCAGGAGGAACACCGGUGGCGAAGGCGGGUCUCUGGGCAGUAACUGACGCUGAGGAGCGAAAGCGUGGGGAGCGAACAGGAUUAGAUACCCUGGUAGUCCACGCCGUAAACGGUGGGUACUAGGUGUGGGUUUCCUUCCUUGGGAUCCGUGCCGUAGCUAACGCAUUAAGUACCCCGCCUGGGGAGUACGGCCGCAAGGCUAAAACUCAAAGAAAUUGACGGGGGCCCGCACAAGCGGCGGAGCAUGUGGAUUAAUUCGAUGCAACGCGAAGAACCUUACCUGGGUUUGACAUGCACAGGACGCCGGCAGAGAUGUCGGUUCCCUUGUGGCCUGUGUGCAGGUGGUGCAUGGCUGUCGUCAGCUCGUGUCGUGAGAUGUUGGGUUAAGUCCCGCAACGAGCGCAACCCUUGUCUCAUGUUGCCAGCGGGUAAUGCCGGGGACUCGUGAGAGACUGCCGGGGUCAACUCGGAGGAAGGUGGGGAUGACGUCAAGUCAUCAUGCCCCUUAUGUCCGGGGCUUCACACAUGCUACAAUGGCCGGUACAAAGGGCUGCGAUGCCGCGAGGUUAAGCGAAUCCUUUUAAAGCCGGUCUCAGUUCGGAUCGGGGUCUGCAACUCGACCCCGUGAAGUCGGAGUCGCUAGUAAUCGC
This 784-nucleotide ribosomal RNA is filed under the name uncultured Mycobacterium sp. RNAcentral's name for it is "bacterial SSU rRNA". It matches the Rfam family "Bacterial small subunit ribosomal RNA", at positions 563 to 1345 of the family's 1533-position model. The record is from RNAcentral. Lineage: Bacteria; Bacillati; Actinomycetota; Actinomycetes; Mycobacteriales; Mycobacteriaceae.